RNAcentral lists this ribosomal RNA (361 nucleotides) under uncultured bacterium. RNAcentral's name for it is "bacterial SSU rRNA". It matches the Rfam family "Archaeal small subunit ribosomal RNA", at positions 723 to 1082 of the family's 1478-position model. The record is from RNAcentral.
AGUGAAUAGAUACCCAGGUAGUCCUAGCCGUAAACGAUACUCGCUAGGUGUCGGCCACGGUGCGACCGUUGUCGGUGCCGUAGGGAAAGCCGUGAAGCGAGCCACCUGGGAAGUACGGCCGCAAGGCUGAAACUUAAAGGAAUUGGCGGGGGAGCACCACAACGGGUGGAGCUUGCGGUUUAAAUUGGAUUCAACGCCGGAAAUCUUACCGGGACCGACAGCAAUAUGAAGGCCAGGCUGAAGACUUUGCCGGAUUAGCUGAGAGGUGGUGCAUGGCCGUCGUCAGUUCGUACUGUGAAGCAUCCUGUUAAGUCAGGCAACGAGCGAGACCCACGCCCACAGUUGCCAGCGUACUCUCUGG